RNAcentral lists this ribosomal RNA (468 nucleotides) under uncultured bacterium. RNAcentral describes it as "partial 16S ribosomal RNA". It matches the Rfam family "Bacterial small subunit ribosomal RNA", at positions 28 to 507 of the family's 1533-position model. The record is from RNAcentral.
GACGAACGCUGGCGGCGUGCUUAACACAUGCAAGUCGAACGGAAAGGCCCUGCUUUUGUGGGGUGCUCGAGUGGCGAACGGGUGAGUAACACGUGAGUAACCUGCCCUUGACUUUGGGAUAACUUCAGGAAACUGGGGCUAAUACCGGAUAGGAGCUCCUGCUGCAUGGUGGGGGUUGGAAAGUUUCGGCGGUGGGGGAUGGAGUCGCGGCUUAUCAGCUGGUUGUUGGGGUAGUGGCUUACCAAGGCUUUGACGGGUAGCCGGCCUGAGAGGGUGAACGGCCACAUUGGGACUGAGAUACGGCCCAGACUCCUACGGGAGGCAGCAGGGGGGAAUAUUGCACAAUGGGCGGAAGCCUGAUGCAGCAACGCCGCGUGCGGGAUGACGGCCUUCGGGUUGUAAACCGCUUUCGCCUGUGACGAAGCGUGAGUGACGGUAAUGGGUAAAGAAGCACCGGCUAACUACGUG